AGAACACCUUCCAACUCAACAUAAGGCAGCUACAGGUUGGAGUGCAAUGGCGCAAUCUUGGCUCACGACAACCUCCGCCUCCCGGGUAUAAGUGAUUCUCCUGCCUCGGCCUCCCGAGUAGCUGAGAUUACAGCCUUAAACCGAUUAAAUGAAGUCUUGACAGCCAGCAGCCUGCAUCCACUACAGAAAAAACGACACCUUGAAUCACACCUUCACUUGAAUUCAGUUGAGUUCCAGUGACUACCACCUCUGUGCUUUGUCAACUUUGGGUUGAGUCCUUUCCUGAAAACACAUCAGUAAUGAUGCAUGCCCCGCAUCCAGCUUCCCACCAAGAAGAAAAAAGAGAGGAGGAUGAGGAAAGCCAUGGAGUGAGUAUGUUUCUUUUUAAAAUGAAAACUCUCUUAGCUUUGAACACAUCCUGAGAAUCCUUUCUUCUUUCUAGUUUACCAAAGUGCUUGUUACAGUGAAAAACACAGCCCACAGGCACUGAGGUGGGACUACAGAACCUUGCUGGACCACAUCUUUUCAGCACAUUUCUGUGACCCUCUGUUUUUGAUGGAGAAAACAACGCUACUGUUAUGAAACACAGAACGGAGUCUUCAUUAAUCUUCCAGCA
RNAcentral lists this non-coding RNA (616 nucleotides) under Pan troglodytes (chimpanzee). Lineage: Eukaryota; Metazoa; Chordata; Mammalia; Primates; Hominidae. The record is from RNAcentral.